GUCCACGCCGUAAACGAUGGAUGCUAGCCGUUGGUAAGCAUGCUUAUCAGUGGCGCAGCUAACGCAUUAAGCGUCCCGCCUGGGGAGUACGGCCGCAAGGUUGAAACUCAAAGGAAUUGACGGGGGCCCCGCACAAGCGGUGUAGCAUGUGGUUUAAUUCGACGCAACGCGCAGAACCUUACCAGGGUUUGACAUCCCGCGCUAAACUCAGAGAUGGGUGGUCCCCGCAAGGGGCGCUGAGACAGGUGCUGCAUGGCUGUCGU
Molecule: ribosomal RNA, 263 nt
Filed under: uncultured bacterium
Lineage: Bacteria
Description: partial 16S ribosomal RNA
Rfam family: Bacterial small subunit ribosomal RNA
Source: RNAcentral